GGAUUGUGACUCAGUGGUAGAGUGUUUACCUAGCACCUAUGAGGCACAGGGUUCGAUCCUCAGCACCA
RNAcentral lists this transfer RNA (68 nucleotides) under Marmota monax (woodchuck). RNAcentral's name for it is "tRNA.Ala". The record is from RNAcentral. Lineage: Eukaryota; Metazoa; Chordata; Mammalia; Rodentia; Sciuridae.